This 276-nucleotide ribosomal RNA is filed under the name uncultured bacterium. RNAcentral's name for it is "partial 16S ribosomal RNA". It matches the Rfam family "Bacterial small subunit ribosomal RNA", at positions 29 to 319 of the family's 1533-position model. The record is from RNAcentral.
AACGAACGCUGGCGGCAGGCCUAACACAUGCAAGUCGAACGAGAAGCCACCUUCGGGUGGUGGACAGUGGCAGACGGGUGAGUAACGCGUGGGAACGUGCCUUUCGGUUCGGGACAACCCAGGGAAACUUGGGCUAAUACCGGAUACGCCCUUCGGGGUAAAGGAUUCAUUGCCGAAACGAAUCGGCCCGCGUCGGAUUAGCUAGUUGGUGGGGUAAAGACCUACCAAGGCGACGAUCCGUAGCUGGUCUGAGAGGAUGACCAGCCACACUGGGAC